RNAcentral lists this ribosomal RNA (2920 nucleotides) under Klebsiella pneumoniae. Its description in RNAcentral is "23S ribosomal RNA". It matches the Rfam family "Bacterial large subunit ribosomal RNA". Lineage: Bacteria; Pseudomonadati; Pseudomonadota; Gammaproteobacteria; Enterobacterales; Enterobacteriaceae. The record is from RNAcentral.
GGGUUGUGAGGUUAAGCGACUAAGCGUACACGGUGGAUGCCCUGGCAGUCAGAGGCGAUGAAGGACGUGCUAAUCUGCGAAAAGCGUCGGUAAGGUGAUAUGAACCGUUACAGCCGGCGAUGUCCGAAUGGGGAAACCCAGUGCAAUUCGUUGCACUAUCGUUAACUGAAUACAUAGGUUAACGAGGCGAACCGGGGGAACUGAAACAUCUAAGUACCCCGAGGAAAAAAAUCAACCGAGAUUCCCCAGUAGCGGCGAGCGAACGGGGAGCAGCCCAGAGUCUGAAUCAGCUUGUGUGUUAGUGGAACGGUCUGGAAAGUCCGACGGUACAGGGUGAUAGUCCCGUACACCAAAAUGCACAGGCUGUGAACUCGAAGAGUAGGGCGGGACACGUGGUAUCCUGUCUGAAUAUGGGGGGACCAUCCUCCAAGGCUAAAUACUCCUGACUGACCGAUAGUGAACCAGUACCGUGAGGGAAAGGCGAAAAGAACCCCGGCGAGGGGAGUGAAAAAGAACCUGAAACCGUGUACGUACAAGCAGUGGGAGCACCUUCGGGUGUGACUGCGUACCUUUUGUAUAAUGGGUCAGCGACUUAUAUUCUGUAGCAAGGUUAACCGUAUAGGGGAGCCGCAGGGAAACCGAGUCUUAACUGGGCGUUAAGUUGCAGGGUAUAGACCCGAAACCCGGUGAUCUAGCCAUGGGCAGGUUGAAGGUUGGGUAACACUAACUGGAGGACCGAACCGACUAAUGUUGAAAAAUUAGCGGAUGACUUGUGGCUGGGGGUGAAAGGCCAAUCAAACCGGGAGAUAGCUGGUUCUCCCCGAAAGCUAUUUAGGUAGCGCCUCGUGAAUUCAUCUUCGGGGUAGAGCACUGUUUCGGCUAGGGGGUCAUCCCGACUUACCAACCCGAUGCAAACUACGAAUACCGAAGAAUGUUAUCACGGGAGACACACGGCGGGUGCUAACGUCCGUCGUGAAGAGGGAAACAACCCAGACCGCCAGCUAAGGUCCCAAAGUCAUGGUUAAGUGGGAAACGAUGUGGGAAGGCACAGACAGCCAGGAUGUUGGCUUAGAAGCAGCCAUCAUUUAAAGAAAGCGUAAUAGCUCACUGGUCGAGUCGGCCUGCGCGGAAGAUGUAACGGGGCUAAACCAUGCACCGAAGCUGCGGCAGCGACACUAUGUGUUGUUGGGUAGGGGAGCGUUCUGUAAGCCUGCGAAGGUGACCUGUGAGGGUUGCUGGAGGUAUCAGAAGUGCGAAUGCUGACAUAAGUAACGAUAAAGCGGGUGAAAAGCCCGCUCGCCGGAAGACCAAGGGUUCCUGUCCAACGUUAAUCGGGGCAGGGUGAGUCGACCCCUAAGGCGAGGCCGAAAGGCGUAGUCGAUGGGAAACAGGUUAAUAUUCCUGUACUUGGUGUUACUGCGAAGGGGGGACGGAGAAGGCUAUGUUAGCCGGGCGACGGUUGUCCCGGUUUAAGCAUGUAGGCUGGUUAUCCAGGCAAAUCCGGAUAAUCAAGGCUGAGGUGUGAUGACGAGGCACUACGGUGCUGAAGUAACAAAUGCCCUGCUUCCAGGAAAAGCCUCUAAGCAUCAGGUAACAUCAAAUCGUACCCCAAACCGACACAGGUGGUCAGGUAGAGAAUACCAAGGCGCUUGAGAGAACUCGGGUGAAGGAACUAGGCAAAAUGGUGCCGUAACUUCGGGAGAAGGCACGCUGGUGUGUAGGUGAAGUCCCUGCGGAUGGAGCUGAGACCAGUCGAAGAUACCAGCUGGCUGCAACUGUUUAUUAAAAACACAGCACUGUGCAAACACGAAAGUGGACGUAUACGGUGUGACGCCUGCCCGGUGCCGGAAGGUUAAUUGAUGGGGUUAUCCGUAAGGAGAAGCUCUUGAUCGAAGCCCCGGUAAACGGCGGCCGUAACUAUAACGGUCCUAAGGUAGCGAAAUUCCUUGUCGGGUAAGUUCCGACCUGCACGAAUGGCGUAAUGAUGGCCAGGCUGUCUCCACCCGAGACUCAGUGAAAUUGAACUCGCUGUGAAGAUGCAGUGUACCCGCGGCAAGACGGAAAGACCCCGUGAACCUUUACUAUAGCUUGACACUGAACAUUGAGCCUUGAUGUGUAGGAUAGGUGGGAGGCUUUGAAGCGUGGACGCCAGUCUGCGUGGAGCCAACCUUGAAAUACCACCCUUUAAUGUUUGAUGUUCUAACGUUGGCCCCUGACCGGGGUUGCGGACAGUGUCUGGUGGGUAGUUUGACUGGGGCGGUCUCCUCCCAAAGCGUAACGGAGGAGCACGAAGGUUAGCUAAUCCUGGUCGGACAUCAGGAGGUUAGUGCAAUGGCAUAAGCUAGCUUGACUGCGAGCGUGACGGCGCGAGCAGGUGCGAAAGCAGGUCAUAGUGAUCCGGUGGUUCUGAAUGGAAGGGCCAUCGCUCAACGGAUAAAAGGUACUCCGGGGAUAACAGGCUGAUACCGCCCAAGAGUUCAUAUCGACGGCGGUGUUUGGCACCUCGAUGUCGGCUCAUCACAUCCUGGGGCUGAAGUAGGUCCCAAGGGUAUGGCUGUUCGCCAUUUAAAGUGGUACGCGAGCUGGGUUUAGAACGUCGUGAGACAGUUCGGUCCCUAUCUGCCGUGGGCGCUGGAGAAUUGAGGGGGGCUGCUCCUAGUACGAGAGGACCGGAGUGGACGCAUCACUGGUGUUCGGGUUGUCAUGCCAAUGGCACUGCCCGGUAGCUAAAUGCGGAAGAGAUAAGUGCUGAAAGCAUCUAAGCACGAAACUUGCCCCGAGAUGAGUUCUCCCUGAGACUUUAAGUCUCCUGAAGGAACGUUAAAGACGAUGACGUUGAUAGGCCGGGUGUGUAAGCGCAGCGAUGCGUUGAGCUAACCGGUACUAAUGAACCGUGAGGCUUAACCUUACAACGCCGAAG